This 2097-nucleotide ribosomal RNA is filed under the name bacterium. Its description in RNAcentral is "partial 23S ribosomal RNA". It matches the Rfam family "Bacterial large subunit ribosomal RNA", at positions 1 to 1841 of the family's 2925-position model. The record is from RNAcentral.
GUCGGGACAAUUAAGGGCGUAGGGUGGAUGCCUCGGCACCAGAUGCCGAUGAAGGACGUUGCAGGCAACGAUAUGCCUCGGGGAGCUGCCAAGCGAGCUAUGAUCCGGGGAUUUCCGAAUGGGGAAACCCGAUAUCGUGUUGAGCGAUAUCACCCACUGCGCAAGCAGCGGGAGGGCACCCGGUGAAGUGAAACAUCUCAGUAACCGGAGGAAAAGAAAACAAGCAUGCUCACUGCGUUCGCAUAGCACGCACCAUGCAAAACGACGAAUGCGCAACAGAGGAUUACUCCUCCGUUCUGCGUUCUGAGUUCUGCAUUCUGCGUUUGCGAGCGUAGCGAGUCAUGUCAUUCCCUUCGUAGUGGCGAGCGAACGGGGAACAGCCCAAAUUGCAUGGAGCGCAAUUGACCGGCCAUCGUCGUACCGCAAGGUGCUUCGAUCAGUAGGUUGAUUGCACACGGGACGGUGAUGCGCCAUGCGAGGUUAUGCGCCGGAGAGGUCGCGUGCGUCCAGCCACGCGGAUUGGAGAAUGCCCGUGAGGGCGUCUCCUCCUAGUCGAAGCUCCUGGAACGGAGCGCCAAAGCAGGUGAUAGCCCUGUAGACGAAAGGAGGAGUAUACCAAUGCUCUCCGUGCGAAAGUAAGGCGGGACACGUGAAAUCCCGUCGGAAAUAGGGACGACUACGUUCCAAGGCUAAAUACAUCUGGUGACCGAUAGUGAAGCAGUACCGUGAGGGAAAGGUGAAAAACAGCCCGGUGAGGGCAAUGAAAUACAUCUGAAACCCUACGCUUACAAGGAAUCGGAGCCCGUUGCUUUACCGCAGUGGGUGACGGUGUGCCUAUUGAAGAAUGAGCCAGUGAGUUCGUCGUUGUUGCUCGUCGAAGGCCUACGGGCCGAAGGCAGAGGGAAACCGAGUCUGAAUAGGGCAACCGAAUUGUUGUUUGCGCACGGACCAUUGCGGUUCGUGCGCACGCAGCGAUUCACGGCAGCUGCGACGAGACCCGAAACCGGGUGAGCUUGCCAUGGGCAGGGUGAACCUUGAGUAAAAUCAGGGGGAGGCCCGAACCCGUAGGUCGUGUAACGCCUUGGGAUGACCUGUGGCAAGAGGAGAAAUUCCAAUCGAACUCGGUAAUAGCUGGUUCUCCCCGAAAUAGCUUUUGGGCUAGCGCGUCUGUGCCCCCUGGGGGUAGAGCUACUGAUUGGAGCUUCCGGGAGCAAUCCUAGGGCCUCCAACCAAACUCCGAAUACCAGGCAAGGUAUACAGACGUAGUCAGUACGUGGGGGCGAAGCUCCACGGCACAAAAGGGAAACAGCCCAGAUCCCAAUCUAAGGUCCUUAAAUCUCGGCUCAGUGGGAAAGGAAGUGGGACGGCUCUGACAACCAGGAGGUUGGCUUAGAAGCAGCCACCCUUCAAAGAAAGCGUAACAGCUCACUGGUCAAGCUAUCCUGCGCCGAAAAUAUACCGGGGCUAAGUCGAGUACCGAAGAUGGGAAUGGCAUCGCUUCGGCGAUGACCAUGGUAGGGGAGCGUUCCUCGCUGCGUUGAAGCCGGACCCGCGAGGGCCGGUGGAGUGCAGGGAAGUGAGAAUGCUGGCAUGAGUAGCGACAAGGGAAGUGAGAACCUUCCCCACCGUAAGUCCAAGGUUUCCUGGGCAACGCAAAUCGUCCCAGGGUGAGGCGGUCCUAAGGCGAGCCCUCGAGUUAUUGGGGGAUAGCUGAUGGAUAGCAGGUGAAUAUUCCUGCCCUUCCGACCGUGUUCCCGCUGCUGACGCAUCGUAGUGGUCUUCGGGCCUUUUGGCUAUAGGUCUGCUUUGCGGGUUCCCGCAGAGCGCAGGGCGAGUCGCAAGAUGAGUCCAAUGAAGACAAGAGCGGUGCCGAGAAAAGGCGGCGAUUGAUAGCGGUCGGAAUCCGUACCGGAAACCGACACAGGUGGACGGGCACGAUUGUGCCAAGGUGUACGGGAGAACCCUCGUUAAGGAACUCGGCAAAAAAGAGGCCGUAACUUCGGGAUAAGGCCUGCCCCGUCGCAAGACGGGGUCGCAGCGAGCGAUGCAAAGUGACUGUUUACCAAAAACACAGGUCCCUGCGAAGCCGAAAGGCAA